ACAAAAGGACAGCAAUUUGUCUGUUCCACUCCCCUAAUUUCCCAAUAAAAUCUUUUUAAAAAACUGGUGUAAAAACUUUGUGUUAAAAUUUCCCUUUCAAACUUCCACAUGACUCUUGGGAUGCGCGUCCAUUGCGCAGUGGAAGCUCAAGCCGUAGACAUCUUGGCUGACUUUGAAUUUUAGGGUUCAAGUGUGUGCAGGUGGCAGAAGACUUGGUCUACUCCCCAUGGCCUCCGAUCCAGUGAAAUGACAAAGAUUUUUUUUUUAUAUUAAGUGCAGUGGUUUAAAAUGCAUCUUCUACCCAAUGAUGGAGCCUGGUUGUCCCCUUGAGUGUGGGCUGGACUUGGCGACUCGUUUCUAAUGGCUAAGAUGUGGCAGAGGUGACUGUGACAGCUGUGGUUUCCUGCUUGCUCUCCAGGGUCACUUACGGGAGGCCACCGCCAUGUCAGGACACCGGCCGCCCCACCCUGCCCACUGAGGGGAGCAGCCCCUCCAACUUCAGUGGCGCCUUCAGCUGAUGUGGCUGCUCUCCCGAGGAGCCCAGCCAAGCACGCCGAUUCCCGACUCAGAGGUGGGGCUCUUUGCUGUGAGUGACGGAGAUCCGUGUGAAGAAAGCUCAGGUGACGACAGGAGCACAUUUGGGUGACAGGCAAGAGUGUCAUCUUGUCUCUUCUGCGAGGUGGCCUUAUUCUGUGUUGCAAAUCGGACGCCUUCUCACGGCGGGGACACUGGAUUGUGUGGAGCCUGACUUGUCACCCCACUACCGGGGAGGGGCGGCGCUCUCUGCCCAGCUCUGGUCCCCAUGCUCCAGGGAGGGGUCUGUGUGACUCCACCUGGGUCGGGAGCUCCGGUGAGGGGGACAAGGCCAGAGAGCAGUCAUGGCUGCGAGGGGCUACCCCCGAGCAUCGGAGUGGCUAUGGUGUCAUCCAUAGCUGUCCCCAUGUGCCUCCAGGUCCUGCUGGCCUGAGGUGGGGACAGCUGUGGAAUUCCACCACCAUGAUUUCUAGAUUGGAGUGGCAGGGAAGUCCUAAGCGUCAUCCCCGGGGAAGGAGACCACCUGUCAUUGCUUUGUCAGAGGGGCUGUCUGUCUCCUCUGAAGCCCUGGGGAGAAUGGCUUUCGGACAGUCCGGGGAGGCGUGGGACAGUCCGGCUCAGAGGGACAGGUCCGCCUUCACAGUGUCUGUGGGGCGAGGCUCCUGCACUUGGUGGGAAGGGCCAGCUCAGGAUGGCAUGUGAACUGGGGGUGCAGCCCCUCACAACGGGUCGCAGCAUGGCUGAUGGCUUCGACUGGGGAGGGGCCAGCUGCUCCUGGUGUCCAGUGCCAUCCUGACUGGCCAGCUCCCACGUCCCAGGUGGCAUGGGCAGCUGACCGUGCCUUCUCAGUUCUGGAGGCACAAGUCUGACGGCAGGAGGCCAGCGUGGGCGCAUGCUGGUGAGGAUGGACUUCCUGGCGUGCGGACGGCACUGUCUCCGUCCUCUCACAGGGCAGAGGCACAGCGAGCUCUGGCGUCCCAUCGUCACGGCUCAUUUAACCUCAUCACCCCAAAGGCCCAGCUCCUAACACCCGCCCGCUGGGCCUGACUGCAGCGUGUGGAUCUGGGGGACACAUCCAGUCCCCAGCGCGCUGAUAGCAGACGCUGAGCACCCCUUUGGAAAACCGAAAGUUGAGCUCUGUCUGUGCUGGUAGCACUGCUGGCCACCCCAGCUCUCCCCCGGCCGCCCAACAGCCCAGAACAGCCCUCGGGUGACCAGGGGGCUUCCUUCCGGACACCGCAGGGCAGGGCGAGCCUCACUCUUCCUUGACAGGCCCCGCCCAUCCGUGCUGUCAGGGCCCCGAAUCCUGUCGACAGUGUGGGACAGUUGUCCAUCUUGGAAAAGGUUGCAGUGUGUGCAUGUGAGCGUGUGUGUACACGCACGUGCACCCCGGCCCUGGACCAGGAUGCAGGAAACGCCCCAGCCAGCCAUCCUACUCUGCCUGGCUGGGCCCCGAGGAGGGCAGAGCAGGAGCCUGGGGGCCGGUGGGGACGAGGGGACAGGGGCCUGCAGAGCAGAUGCCCUGGGAGCAGGCGCCCUUCUCUGCGUUUGUUUCCUGCUGGAAGUUACUGUUUUCCGCAGCAUCUCUUCCCUGCGGGGGGGUCAGGACCCUGGAGCCACCAGGCAGGCCGCCGCCGCCCAGGUCAGUGUCGGGGGCUGUGAGUGGGGACCUGGCGCUGGGGCCUUGGUUUCCCUCCUGGGAACAGGUGUGCUUUGGGGGAGCCGCCACUAGGACCUCCUGUGCCCCCUUGUCAGUACACUUCAGUGUCUAAUUACCUGUGUUAAAAACGCUUGAUUGUUUUGCACAAACUUCUGAAACCCAAGUAGGAUCUCAUGUGGGUGCUAAAGCCGCCUGCAAAAGACGUGGUAACAUCAAUACAAGUUGCUUUCGUGCCCACGUCCCCAGGCCUGCCCCAUCCUUAAAGCCCUGAUGCUCUCUGGUGGGGGGGGGGGACUCUGCUGGCACCAGACGGUAUUGAUCGCCCUGCAGAAGGACAUGGGGUGGUGGGCAAGGGCACAGGGUGACGGGCACACCCUCAGCAGGGCAGGGCCUCGGGCCGAUGGACACAUCUUGGCAUUAAUGCUGGUGGCUCGGAGCUGAGGGGAGGCUCGGCUCAGCACAUGGAAAGCACAGGGGCUUGUGCCCUCGGAUGUGAAACGUCUGCUUUGGUCCACACGUGCCUGCCACCCAGCAGGGAUGGCGGGUGAGCAGUGAUGACAACAUUCAUGGCAGCUGGGUCUCAGCGUGGGGCCUCGUUUGGAAGCGGGGUCUGCAGAUGUGGGCAGUAAGGGUGUGAGCUCAUCCUGGAUGGGGAGGCUGAGUCCGAGGCUGCUGUCCUUGGACAGGAGACGGAGGGAGUGGCCACGGGACGGCAGGGGCUGCAGGGACGCUGACCACCUACCUGAGGCUGGGGGAGGCGUGGAACCCUGCUCCCCCAGGGCCCCUGGAAGGCACAGGCCUGCCCACACUGGCCCGACCCCUGGGCUCCUGCGGUGAGCAGAAGGAUCUCUGGUUUGCAGCCCCGUCUUCUUUGCUAGGACAAAGCAGGAUACAGUCUGGCUUCCAUUUUCAAAAGAGAGUGCAGGGUUUGGACGGUCAGCUCCCCACCCGAGAUGACCCAGCAGGUGGGGGCAGGGCACCUGGCCCCUCUGUCCCCAUCCCUGAGGCCUGGCUGUCCCCAGUGGCGGGGAGGGGAUGGUGGGGGCACGAGGUGGCGCAGAGUGGCACAGGGCACGGGCACAGGCUCAGCACACAUGCAUCCAGGCCGCCCCUCCUCACCUCUGAGGCUGACCACGCGAUGUCCCUGCUGUCCCCAGCAUGGUGGGGGAGGACAGGGCCGUUACCACUCUAACCCUGUGCCCGUGACUGAGCAGAUGUGCCCUCUGCAGGGCCCAGGACAGCAGUGCACGCGGAGGGGCCACGCUCCCCGCACUCCUAGAGCGUCUAGGAGCCCCUGUUCCUGGGCAAGUGAGAACUUGGGGAAGGGGGGGCGGGGAUGGUUUCCGCCACAGCUGAGGGCCAGAAGCAGGGCGUGUCUCCGGGGGGGGGGCACCUCCGCUACCAGAAAACUGGCUCCGGGGUCUUGCUUCUCUGCCCGGGGCUGUAGGCACGCACCCUCAGCUUCGCUUUUGCCUGGAUUUUUCACCUGGACUCUGUAUCCGGUGACGUAAGUGGAGCGAGCGUCAGAGUCCCUGACUGCCACCUCUCCCUGGACCUGCUCGUUUGCUGUGUCUAAAUGCUCCUGUGUCGGGGACCCGGGCAGACUUCCCUGGGUGGCCCGUCCUCAGGACACCCGACCACUGUGGCCGGGCGGCUCCCGCGGCUUCAGCUCCUGUCCCUCCGGUCCCUGAGGACUGCUGAGGGCCCAGGAGGACGGGCUGGUCUGAGUGUCCCUGUGCCAUCACACACUCAUCUUUCCUGGCGCGGCUGCCUGGCCGGGGCCCCCGGACGGCAGGGUUGGCCUUGUCCUCUGUGCACAUACCCCUGGUGUCUGCGGGGGGCUCCUUGUGAGGCCCCCCAUGGUGCAUCAGGGCCCAUGCUUCUGCUUCCAGUCCUCAUCAGCCCCUUACAGACCCCUCUCCAAAUACAGCCACACUGCGGAUUAGGGCUGCAACCUAUGCAUGGGGGUUGAGGGGAGGGACACUGGGGAACAGCUUUCGGGCGCAGGAAGCUGGCUGGACAGGGUGGGGACAGAUGGUGCAGGAGCCAUCGGGGCAACGGGGUCAGCCUCACGGGCUUGUGGCCCCACUCUAGAGUGGGAACCCGUGGAUGGCUGGGACACGGGGCACCGUGUGUGUGCCCCGUGGGGACAAGCCAGUGAAGAAGCUGUGACAACCCUCUAUCUUCCUAAUAGGAGGGAGGCAGGUUCAGAGAAGCCCAGCUGCUCCACCAAGGCCCCAGGAUUCAGGGUGGCAGACGCCACGUUUUCAGUGCCUCUGCUUCGGUGUCACACUGGAGAGGAUGUGACAUCGUGCUGUAACUAUGGGGGCACUUGCUAUGGCCAGGUUUUCUUCCAGAAGACAGUUAGCAAACAGCCCAGGGGCCCGAGGCAGACGGUGGCCUGUUUCCGAAUGUCCUGCAAGCUCAGAAUGGUUUUUAUAGCCUUAAACAGCUGGGAAACAAACACAAGCCAAAGCAGAUACGACCGAGAUGGCACACGGCCGCAAAGCCUGAGGACUUACCAUCUGGCUCGUCACAGGGAACGCUUGCUGGCCGCCCUCCUAGGAUGCAGUCGGACAAGUCCGAGUUGGUCGCUUUCCCUGUAACCAUCAGGCCAAGACACGUGAGAAAGCGGAUGGCUCCUGAAUGGGCAAGAGACACUUCAUUAUCAGGAUUAUAAUAAUGGUUGGUAAGAAUCAUCUCAUGGCUUUUUAACGGGCAGAUCUUUACAGACGCCCAGCGGGGACUGGGGAGGAGCAUGGCUGGGCUUCCCGGGGCGUCUGGAAUUCCCUGAGUGCUGCUAGGAGCACGUGCUCGAGGCCCCACCCGGGAGCCGUGUUUCUUUUUAUUCAAGAGGUGUUUGGCGACUGAAGGUGGAUGUGCCACGGCUGGAGCUGGGUCUGCCCUUCAGAGGCUCUGGGGCUCCCUGGAGAUGCAGACACUGACAGAUGUUCGUUCUAUACAGAGGAGGCAGCUCUGGGAGACACAGCAGCCCAGAGCGACUCACUGGAGAGGGUGCAGUCUGAGCCCGGCUCAGGACUGCAAGAAAUGGCCACACUUCUAUUCUUUAAUAGAAUUAAAUCCAUUUUUUAAAAAAGAUUUUUAUUGGGGAAUUGGGGGAUGGGAACAGC
Long non-coding RNA from Hipposideros armiger (great roundleaf bat), 5325 nucleotides. RefSeq lists it as uncharacterized. The transcript has 3 exons. The record is from RefSeq and is a predicted model, not a curated record. NCBI's taxonomy places the organism in Eukaryota, Metazoa, Chordata, Mammalia, Chiroptera, Hipposideridae.